Molecule: long non-coding RNA, 489 nt
Filed under: Elaeis guineensis (African oil palm)
Lineage: Eukaryota; Viridiplantae; Streptophyta; Magnoliopsida; Arecales; Arecaceae
Description: long non-coding RNA (EGUI_LNC003302)
Source: RNAcentral
UUUUUUUCUUUUGGUAAAGAGGUCUGGGCAAAGUUUGGACAGCCUUUCUGGUCUCUAGACGAUGGUUGUCGCAUCUGGACAAGAGUUUUUGCACACUUGAUGUUUUUGCCUCUCACAGAAGUAUCAUUAUGUUCUAUUUACAGGGUGGAAGUUUGUAAUACGCGAUAUUCAUUUUCAGGAGCUUCGUGAAACCUUGGAUGGAUGGGAUUGCCUAAUCAACACGUAUUGACAACUGUUAUUUCUUGUUUUUUUGUCCUUUUUUUUAUUUUUGUUAUUUAUUUAUUUCUUUAUUUAUUUAUUUGUAGAAGUGAGGCAUGUCGCAUACUUCAAAGAGGAUUCCCAGCGGUGUUGUCCAUGCACUGCAGAAAACUCUGUUGUACCAACAAGAGAUAGGUGGCCAUCAAACAACAUAUGUCGCGUAUAACAUGGUAUUUGCUCAUGGACUGCCUUCUUUGAUGGUUGUCCAUUUUUUUAUACUGCGUAUGCACU